Molecule: long non-coding RNA, 478 nt
Organism: Cryptomeria japonica (Japanese cedar)
Lineage: Eukaryota; Viridiplantae; Streptophyta; Pinopsida; Cupressales; Cupressaceae
Exons: 2
Source: RefSeq, a predicted model, not a curated record
UAAAGGAUUUUGAUAACCCUAAAAGUCUUGCACUUCCAUCGCAUUUUUUAAUUUUGCAAAAUGAAAACAACUUCGAAGGAAAAUCUUCGAGGGUUUGGUGCCGCCAUGGACGAAGAGUGCUGGGUUUUCAAUGGGCUUCUUUUCUAAAUGCAAAUCUUUUUCUCUACAGGAAUUUUUUGUGCAGGAAAGUAGGAGUUUUCAAAGUCUGAAGAUCGAGAAAACAUUCACAAGGGCAACGGGGCAGCUAGUAACCAGUCAAAGCAACCCAAGGCAAUGACUGGUUAUCCUCACACUCAUUUUUUAAUUCUAUCCUUUUUUGUUUUGGAUAUGUAGGAAAGAUAGGAAUGCUAAGCUCACGGCUUGUGUGAGGUUUUAAGAAACUCAGUGUAUAUAAAUAUGCUUCAGAUGCAUGAACUCAAUUUGUAAUCUAUCAUUGUUCAAUACAAAUGAAAAAUAUCCUCUUUUUCCUCUUUUUAAA